AGAGUUUGAUCAUGGCUCAGAAUCAACGCUGGCGGCGUGCCUAAUACAUGCAAGUCGAACGCGAAAAUCCCGCAAGGGAUCAGUAGAGUGGCAAACGGGUGAGUAACACGUGGGUGACCUGCCUUCGAGUGGGGGAUAACGUUCCGAAAGGGACGCUAAUACCGCAUGAUCAUCCUGCCUUUGAACAGGUGGAGAUUAAAGCCGGGGAUCGCAAGACCUGGCGCUUGAAGAGGGGCCCGCGUCCGAUUAGCUAGUUGGUGGGGUAACGGCUCACCAAGGCAACGAUCGGUAGCCGGCCUGAGAGGGCGGACGGCCACACUGGGACUGAGACACGGCCCAGACUCCUACGGGAGGCAGCAGUAGGGAAUUGUUCGCAAUGGGCGCAAGCCUGACGACGCAACGCCGCGUGGAGGAUGAAGACCUUCGGGUCGUAAACUCCUUUCGAUCGAGACGAAUGGCCCUUGGGCUAAUCACCAGGGGAAUGACGGCACCGAGAGAAGAAGCCCCGGCUAACUCCGUGCCAGCAGCCGCGGUA
RNAcentral lists this ribosomal RNA (535 nucleotides) under uncultured Acidobacteriota bacterium. RNAcentral describes it as "bacterial SSU rRNA". It matches the Rfam family "Bacterial small subunit ribosomal RNA", at positions 8 to 522 of the family's 1533-position model. Lineage: Bacteria; Pseudomonadati; Acidobacteriota. The record is from RNAcentral.